This 65-nucleotide transfer RNA is filed under the name Petroscirtes breviceps (striped poison-fang blenny mimic). RNAcentral's name for it is "tRNA-Cys". It matches the Rfam family "tRNA". From Rfam's summary of the family: Transfer RNA (tRNA) molecules are approximately 80 nucleotides in length. Their secondary structure includes four short double-helical elements and three loops (D, anti-codon, and T loops). Lineage: Eukaryota; Metazoa; Chordata; Actinopteri; Blenniiformes; Blenniidae. The record is from RNAcentral.
AGCCCUGGGGUGUUACACGCAGGAUUGCAAAUCCUGAGAUGCAGAUUAAAAGUCUGCCGGGGCUU